Non-coding RNA from Chiloscyllium plagiosum (whitespotted bambooshark), 446 nucleotides. Lineage: Eukaryota; Metazoa; Chordata; Chondrichthyes; Orectolobiformes; Hemiscylliidae. The record is from RefSeq and is a predicted model, not a curated record.
AACUGCUGCAACUGAAAAUAUAUUAAAUAUAUUGUCAGGAAGGAGGCGGGGAAGGGUGCGGGGAGAAUAUCUGUCUACUCAGCGAACAGCAUUGUGAAAAAGACAGCCAAGUUUAGUGCCUGGAAUGAUUGCAUUCUGGAUAUCCAUGAGCCCUGGUCAAAACUUCAGAGGAAUAAUUUGAUGGGAAAAUGAACAGACUGUCUCAGUUCUGUAAAGACUUUGCUUUGACCAUCAGCAUCAGAAAGAUAAAUAGCCUGAUCAGAUGUUGUUAUGCCACUAUCAUCCAUCAGCAAUGUCACUUUGAUACUAAAUUUUAUUGAUAGCUUCCCUUAUCUAGGCUCCACAAUCACUGGCAUUUCUCACUGAAUGCUGAAAUUCUAGUGAUUGUGAUGAGGUCAGCCAGCUGGACCUCAUAGGAUAUAAAUUCCCUGAUUGGUGUGGUUAAU